RNAcentral lists this ribosomal RNA (270 nucleotides) under uncultured bacterium. RNAcentral describes it as "partial 16S ribosomal RNA". It matches the Rfam family "Bacterial small subunit ribosomal RNA", at positions 338 to 600 of the family's 1533-position model. The record is from RNAcentral.
CCUACGGGGCGCAGCAGUAGGGAAUUUUCGUCAAUGGGCGCAAGCCUGAACGAGCAAUGCCGCGUGAACGAGGAAGGUCUUCGGAUCGUAAAGUUCUGUUGGAGAGGAAAAAGGGCGGAGAGAGGAAAUGGUCUCAGAUUGAUAUUACUCUUCGAGGAAGUAACGGCUAACUACGUGCCAGCAGCCGCGGUAAUACGUAGGUUGCGAGCGUUAUCCGGAAUAAUUGGGCGUAAAGGGCGCGUAGGCGGCCUGCUAAGUCUGAAGUGAAAG